UAGAAGAUGGCGACCGGCGCACGGGUGAGUAACACGUAUCCAACCUGCCGAUAACUCGGGGAUAGCCUUUCGAAAGAAAGAUUAAUACCCGAUGGCAUAAUAGAACCGCAUGGUUUGAUUAUUAAAGAAUUUCGGUUAUCGAUGGGGAUGCGUUCCAUUAGGCAGUUGGUGGGGUAACGGCCCACCAAACCUCCGAUGGAUAGGGGUUCUGAGAGGAAGGUCCCCCACAUUGGAACUGAGACACGGUCCAA
This 251-nucleotide ribosomal RNA is filed under the name uncultured bacterium. RNAcentral's name for it is "partial 16S ribosomal RNA". It matches the Rfam family "Bacterial small subunit ribosomal RNA", at positions 81 to 334 of the family's 1533-position model. The record is from RNAcentral.